Paramuricea clavata is the source of this 114-nucleotide non-coding RNA. Lineage: Eukaryota; Metazoa; Cnidaria; Anthozoa; Malacalcyonacea; Plexauridae. The record is from the annotation of a GenBank genome assembly.
UUCCCGUGUUGACAUUGAGUUAUAUCAACACGGCUCUUAGCCAAUCAGCGUUCAGAAUUUACAAAUGCUGAUUGGCUAAGAGCCGUGUUGAUAUAACUCAAUGUCAACACGGGA